This 371-nucleotide ribosomal RNA is filed under the name uncultured bacterium. RNAcentral's name for it is "partial 16S ribosomal RNA". It matches the Rfam family "Bacterial small subunit ribosomal RNA", at positions 355 to 719 of the family's 1533-position model. The record is from RNAcentral.
UGGGGAAUUUUGGACAAUGGGCGAAAGCCUGAUCCAGCAAUGCCGCGUGUGUGAAGAAGGCCUUCGGGUUGUAAAGCACUUUUGUCCGGAAAGAAAUCCUUGGCUCUAAUACAGUCGGGGGAUGACGGUACCGGAAGAAUAAGCACCGGCUAACUACGUGCCAGCAGCCGCGGUAAUACGUAGGGUGCAAGCGUUAAUCGGAAUUACUGGGCGUAAGCGUGCGCAGGCGGUUUGCUAAGACCGAUGUGAAAUCCCGGGCUCAACCUGGGAACUGCAUUGGAUGACUGGCAGGCUAGAGUAUGGCAGAGGGGGGUAGAAUUCCACGUGUAGCAGUGAAAUGCGUAGAGAUGUGGAGGAAUACCGAUGGCGAA